AACGAACGCUGGCGGCAUGCCUAACACAUGCAAGUCGAACGAGACCUUCGGGUCUAGUUGCGCACGUGUGCGUAACGCGUGGGAACCUGCCCUUAGGUUCGGAAUAACUCCCCGAAAGGUGUGCUAAUACCGGUUAAUCUCUUCGGACCUAAGAUUUAUCGCCUUUGGAUGGGCCCGCGUUGGAUUAGCUAGUUGGUAGUGUAAAAGCCUACCAAGGCGACGAUCCAUAGCUGGUCGGAGAGGAUGAUCAGCCACACUGGGACUGAGACACGGCCCAGACUCGUACGGGAGGCAGCAGAAGGGAAUAUUGGAGAAGGGGCGAAAGCCUGAUACAGCAAUGCCGGGUGAGAGAGGAAGGCGUUAGGGUUGUAAAGCUCUUUUAGCCGGGAUGAUAAUGACAGUAACGGGAGAAUAAGCACCGGCUAACUACGUG
RNAcentral lists this ribosomal RNA (433 nucleotides) under uncultured bacterium. RNAcentral describes it as "partial 16S ribosomal RNA". It matches the Rfam family "Bacterial small subunit ribosomal RNA", at positions 29 to 507 of the family's 1533-position model. The record is from RNAcentral.